UACGGAGGGUGCAAGCGUUGUCCGGAUUUAUUGGGCGUCAAGAGCUCGUAGGUGGUUCGAUAAGUCGGGUGUGAAACCUCCAGGCUCAACCUGGAGACGCCACCCGAUACUGUCGUGACUAGAGUCCAGUAGGGGAGCGUGGAAUUCCUGGUGUAGCAGUGAAAUGCGCAGAUAUCAGGAGGAACACCAGCGGCGAAGGCGGCGCUCUGGGCUGGCACUGACACUGAGGAGCGAAAGCGUGGGGAGCGAA
RNAcentral lists this ribosomal RNA (250 nucleotides) under uncultured bacterium. RNAcentral describes it as "partial 16S ribosomal RNA". It matches the Rfam family "Bacterial small subunit ribosomal RNA", at positions 524 to 772 of the family's 1533-position model. The record is from RNAcentral.